Molecule: long non-coding RNA, 835 nt
Filed under: Lathyrus oleraceus (garden pea)
Lineage: Eukaryota; Viridiplantae; Streptophyta; Magnoliopsida; Fabales; Fabaceae
Description: Pisum sativum (pea) long non-coding RNA (PSAT_LNC029453)
Source: RNAcentral
AAUUUUCAAUACACCGUAUGAUACACCGUAUAUAUUAUCAAAAGAAAUUUUUCUUGCACACAAAUCAAUGUAAAAUAAAUUAUUAAAAAACAAAAUUAGUAUGUAUUGUGUAGUCAAUUUACGGUGUAGGUGUUUAAAAAUGGAUGUAAACAUAUCUUUUCUCUAUUCAAAACAGCUUUGCUAAUUUGACACAAAUUUUCAAUACACCGUAUGAUACACCGUAUAUAUUAUCAAAAGAAAUUUUUCUUGCACACAAAUCAAUGUUAAAUAAAUUAUUAGAAAACAAAAUUAGUAUGUAUUGUGUAGUCAAUUACGGUGUAGGUGUUAAAAAUGGAUGUAAACAUAUCUUUUCUCUAUUCAAAACAGCUUUGCUAAUUUAACACCAAUUUUCAAUACAUCGUAUGAUACACCGUAUAUAUUAUCAAAAGAAAUUUUUCUUGCACACAAAUCAAUGUAAAAUAAAUUAUUAGAAAACAAAAUUAGUAUGUAUUGUGUAGUCAAUUACGGUGUCGGUGUUAAAAAUGGAUGUAAACAUAUCUUUUCUCUAUUCAAAACAGUUUUGCUAAUUUGACACCAAUUUUCAAUACAGCGUAUGAUACACCGUAUAUAUUAUCAAAAGAAAUUUUUCUUGCACACAAAUCAAUGUAAAAUAAAUUAUUAAAAAACAAAAUUAGUAUGUAUUGUGUAGUCAAUUACGGUGUAGGUGUUAAAAAUGGAUGUAAACAUAUCUUUUCUCUAUUCAAAACAGCUUUGCUAAUUUGACACCAAUUUUCAAUACACCGUAUGAUACACCGUAUAUAUUAUCAAAAGAAAUUUUUCUUGCACACAAAUCAAA